GACGUAGGUGGCGAACGUUAUCCGGAAUUAUUGGGCGUAAAGGGUGCGUAGAUGGCCUGAUAAGUUAGCAGUGGUAAAUCGAGGCUCAACCUCGUGGAAACUGAUAAUACUGUCUGGCUCGAGUACAGAAGAGGUUAACGGAAUUCCAUGUGGAGCGGUAAAAUGCAUAGAUAUAUGGAAGAACACCAAUAACGGCGAAGGCAGUUAACUAUUCUGUUACUGACAUUGAGGCACGAAAGCGUGGGGAGCAAAACGG
Molecule: ribosomal RNA, 256 nt
Filed under: uncultured bacterium
Lineage: Bacteria
Description: partial 16S ribosomal RNA
Rfam family: Bacterial small subunit ribosomal RNA
Source: RNAcentral